RNAcentral lists this transfer RNA (71 nucleotides) under Fibrobacter sp. Its description in RNAcentral is "tRNA-Gln". It matches the Rfam family "tRNA". Rfam says of the family: Transfer RNA (tRNA) molecules are approximately 80 nucleotides in length. The record is from RNAcentral. Lineage: Bacteria; Pseudomonadati; Fibrobacterota; Fibrobacteria; Fibrobacterales; Fibrobacteraceae. RNAcentral also lists the same sequence under 4 other names.
UGAGCUAUGGUGUAAUGGUAGCACAACAGAUUCUGAAUCUGUUUGUCUUGGUUCGAGUCCAGGUAGCUCAA